Molecule: ribosomal RNA, 391 nt
Filed under: Svenartia spungisi
Lineage: Eukaryota; Metazoa; Arthropoda; Insecta; Diptera; Cecidomyiidae
Description: partial 12S ribosomal RNA
Source: RNAcentral
UAUUAUUUAUUUUAAAAAUAUUAUUCUAGAUUAGUAAUUAGUAUAAAAUAAAAAUUUAAAAAUUUGGCAGUAUUUUAUUAUUAUUAGAGGAUUUUGUUCUAUAAUUGAUAAUACACAAUAAAUUUUACUUAAUUUAAUAAAUUUAUAUAUCGUUGUCAUAAAAAUAUCUUAAAAAAGUAAUUUUUAAAAUUAUUUAUAAGUAAAAAUGUCAAAUCAAGAUAUAGUUUAUAAUUAAGAUAGAAAUGAAAUACAAUAAAUCUAUUUAAAUGAAAAAUUUUAUGAAAUUAAAAUUUAAAAGUGGAUUUAAUAGUAAAUUUAUUUAUAUAUAAAAGUUGAAUUAAUUUUAAAAUGUGUACAUAUUGCCCGUCGCUUUUAUAUUAAAAUAAAAUAA